This 861-nucleotide non-coding RNA is filed under the name Paenibacillus polymyxa SC2. RNAcentral describes it as "Bacterial large subunit ribosomal RNA". It matches the Rfam family "Bacterial large subunit ribosomal RNA", at positions 2045 to 2912 of the family's 2925-position model. Lineage: Bacteria; Bacillati; Bacillota; Bacilli; Caryophanales; Paenibacillaceae. The record is from Rfam by way of RNAcentral.
UAAUACCUGUGAAGAUGCAGGUUACCCGCGACAAGACGGAAAGACCCCAUGGAGCUUUACUGCAGCUUGAUAUUGAAUUUGGGUACGAUCUGUACAGGAUAGGUGGGAGCCGUAGAACUUUGAGCGCCAGCUUGAAGGGAGGCAUCCUUGGGAUACCACCCUGAUCGUAUCUAGGUUCUAACUUGGUACCGUGAUCCGGUACGAGGACAGUGUCAGGUGGGCAGUUUGACUGGGGCGGUCGCCUCCUAAAGAGUAACGGAGGCGCCCCAAGGUUCCCUCAGAAUGGUUGGAAAUCAUUCGAAGAGUGCAAAGGCAGAAGGGAGCUUGACUGCGAGACCUACAAGUCGAGCAGGGACGAAAGUCGGGCUUAGUGAUCCGGUGGUACCGCAUGGAAGGGCCAUCGCUCAACGGAUAAAAGCUACCCUGGGGAUAACAGGCUUAUCUCCCCCAAGAGUCCACAUCGACGGGGAGGUUUGGCACCUCGAUGUCGGCUCAUCGCAUCCUGGGGCUGAAGUAGGUCCCAAGGGUUGGGCUGUUCGCCCAUUAAAGCGGUACGCGAGCUGGGUUCAGAACGUCGUGAGACAGUUCGGUCCCUAUCUGUCGUGGGCGUAGGAAAUUUGAGAGGAGCUGUCCUUAGUACGAGAGGACCGGGAUGGACGUACCGCUGGUGUACCAGUUGUUCCGCCAGGAGCACCGCUGGGUAGCUAUGUACGGAAGGGAUAAGCGCUGAAAGCAUCUAAGCGUGAAGCCCCCCUCAAGAUGAGAUUUCCCAGUAUGUAAGACCCCUUGAAGACGACGAGGUAGAUAGGUUGGGGGUGGAAGUGCAGUAAUGCAUGGAGCUGACCAAUACUAAUCGGUCGA